RNAcentral lists this ribosomal RNA (280 nucleotides) under uncultured bacterium. RNAcentral describes it as "partial 16S ribosomal RNA". It matches the Rfam family "Bacterial small subunit ribosomal RNA", at positions 506 to 784 of the family's 1533-position model. The record is from RNAcentral.
UGCCAGCAGCCGCGGUAAUACAUAGGGGUCACGCGUUGUCCGGAUUUAUUGGGCGUAAAGAGCUCGUAGGCGGUUCAACAAGUCGGUCGUAAAAGUUUAGGGCUCAACCCUAAAAUGUCGAUCGAUACUGUUGUGACUAGGAUACGGUAGAGGGGGGUAGAAUUUCAGGUGUAGCGGUGAAAUGCGUAGAGAUCUGAAGGAAUACCAGUGGCGAAGGCGGCCCCCUGGACAGACACUGACACUCAGAUGCGAAAGCGUGGGGAGCAAACAGGAUUAGAUA